UAUCCAAUAAAAUGAAACCAAAAAAAAAUUUUUUUUAAAAGAAAUACUAUUUGGACGGGCCUGAUGUUAUCAGGGGCAGGUUUUUGGAUAACCUGUUUUCCUUGUGGGUCCCCUCUUGGAGAACCGUGGCCCCCAGCAGAUUCUCCUCCAGGGAGAGAAAAAGUGGCACCCAGACCCUCACGCGAUGCAUACCGCAGCCAGAAGAGUGCCAGUCCUGGGUUGUGCAGACUGGCAUUCAACCCGGUCCCCAUGCGCAUAAGCAGCCGGCAACCCCAAAACAUAUGGUGCAACUUUACAUGGCUCAGAGUUACCUCCGCAGCAUUUAGAAUCCUGGCCCAGCCCAGCAGCUUCCUUCUGGUCGUUAGAAGUGAUAUAUUCACAGUUUUGACAGAUGGGGGUGGGGAGAGCCAUCUGUUACCUCCUGGCGUGUAUAUAUAGCACAGCCGCUACACACAAGUGGUGUAGUAUUACGCAAUGAGAUGAAACACGCACCAUCUCGGGGACUGUGGCGUUUCCGAGAUUUGGAAAUGGCAAUGGUAAGGGGCUUGCUUAGCUGGCCUUUCUCAGCCUGUAUUUCUCUUAGCACAGUACCCAGGGCAGCUACUUGUAAUGAAGGAAAUCAGGGUGGCCUGCGGGAGGGGAGCUCUGGGCUGCCCCGCUCUGCGUCAGCUGCCUGCUCUCAGAGGCUCCAGGCGUAUCUCUGAACCCCGCAACGCUCCUUUCUCUCCCCAGCACCACCCACCAGGUCGCUGCUCAUCAUUAACCAGGAAUGUGUCUUCUCAGACAAGGUUCUGCUUUGUUAGUGUGGGUUCUUUUUCCUCCUUAACUCUUGAUCAGUUCAACAUUUUCACCUUUUAGAGAGAGCCUGAGGGUGCAGAGCACAGCCCCAGCCCACCCUCCUUCUCUGAAUAGGGCUCUGCCAGCUGCACCCUGGGGGCACCAGGAACCCACUGCAGCCGUUUUACACAUGUCAGAGAAUUGGGCUUCAGAGCCCAUAAUGUUUUGGGGGCACAUCCCAUUCUAAACCCUUUUUGGCCCCCACAGAUAAUCAAGUGAAUGUGUUUCCUUCACAGAGUAUGUACUGGAGGUGGAGGAAGCCGGGAGGGAGGCAGCUGGGGAACAGGAAGAUGGAAUCAAUUUUAGGAUUCCAGUUUUGCUUUGGAUGAUCCUCAAGCUGAGGGACAGGUUCUCCCAGACGCCCCCUCUGCCACACGGGGGUCACUGACCUGGAGGAGGGCCAGAUCCCCCCCCCUUUAUUGAAAGGAAGGGGGUCUUGGACUACGAAGGAACAAAACUUUCAGCUCCUUUUUCUCAUCUGGAAAGAUGAUCCCAAGGACAAAUGCCAGCGUCUAGUCAGACAUGGUAUGACCCAACAGCAUAUAUAUAUACAGCUCCUGACAGGAAGUCUUGGAAAGCACCAGACGCCUCACACCACCGUCUGCCCAAGAGGCAUUGAAAGCUGCGAAACCUCCCUCCCUGGCAGUGAGGAAAGCAUAUGUGUCGAACAUACACACACACACACACACACACACACACACACACACACACACAGACAUGCACACACACUAUUAAGAGUCACACUUGAAUGUCAGCCUCCCCUUUUCCCUUCUAGUUCAUGGCAGAAGGAAAAAAAAAUGACUCUCCAGCUACUUAGGGUAAUUUCUAAUUUGGGCUGAAAUAGGUUUUUAAACACAAGCCCUAAACGGGGAUGGAGCCAAGGAGGCCGAGUGUCCAGGAGAGAGGCCAGUGUUGCUAAAUCCUGAAGGGCGGGCUUCCGGAGAGCCAUGCUUCCAGGAUCCCUGUGACUGUCAGGCAAGCUCCUGAACAUCCCCCCACCUCUCCCUGACACCCGCCGGAGUCUGAGUGACGGCUGUGGUCACACUGAAGGGACUGCACACCAGGCACACGUUCUCUAGGGCAGGGCCCUCUCACAGGGCCUAGAAAUAAAGUGUCAGAUUCAUCCCUUUAAAAGAAGGAAAGAUUAAAAGGCAUCCAAUUAGACGUGUCACCUAGGCAACAAGAAAUAACUUGGGGAUCAGAGCCAUCCAGAGGGGGAAGGAGAGUUCCCCAUGAUAGAGGCAUCUAGAUCGUGAGGUCUUAAUAGCUGGCAAAUAGCAGCCAGCCUAGAGGGAGUGAGCCCCAGGGACAGUACGGAAGGCCUAAGACCCAGCUGGCAAGGCUCUUUGAGGUAGACGGGCCAAAGAGGUGUCCAGGUGGCCUCAGUGACCACACACGACUGCGCAGGAUCCCAUCCCCACCGAAGGGAACAGGACUUGCCUCCAGAAAAGAACAACUCAGAAGCCCCUUUGGCAGUCUUCUCUGCCAGCAGUGCUUCCUGAAGUCUGCCCUAAGAUGCGCAUGCCUCUGCCUUCGCUGUGUUCACUUUUCCUACACUUUGCCUUUGAAAGGAGGCCAUUGUGGGAGCUUGGGCAAGCUUCUGAAGGAACCGUAGGGGUGAGGGGGCCGGAGUAACCCUUCCCUCUAAGCCACCUCCAGAGGAACACCAGUCCACCAACAUCCAGGGCAGCUCAGGAUCCAGCGGCACAUGUGUUUUUGCCCAUGUUCUUCUGGCCCCUCCCCCAUCUCAGUACAUCAUUGUGGGUCACCUCAGGCCAAAAGGCUCCCCAGAUGCCAGGAAAUGCUUCCUGGGAAAAGCCAGGCUCCCAAGUUCAGGGGGAUUACUGGAGCUUAGACCACACCCAAAGGGACUGUUUGACACCCUGCUUAAGGGUGGGUACUGAGAACCAGAGUCCUUGCCAAGCAGGGGUGGGGCCUCCCCAUCAUUCCAGGAACAGUGGCAUUGACAGGGAUCCCCUUCUUUGGUGCAGGUUCUUCAGAACCUCAGGGUAAGAGAGCGCCCCAUUUCCUUAGAUGCUGUGGCCUCUCCCACCAUGUGGGGGUCUCCAGUUUGAUCCACAGCUGUCUGCUCACUGCAGUCUACAACUUCCCCAGGCACCAGGAGUCACUUCCUAACCUUAGGCCCACACUCACCCCCUCCAAUGCUGGGAUGCUGGGGCUGAGGGGCAAAGAUGGCAUGGGCUCGUAAGGAGCCCUUGCCACCCUCUGUGGCCACUCAGAGGGUCUUGGCAAAUAGCCGGGUCUUCUGACCCCAGACGGCUUGCCCGUGGGGCCCUUGCUUGCUAAUCAGGCCGGGAGGCCAGGCCCCUAUGUCCUCUGACUGAAGCCAGAGCCUCCUGGCCUGGAAAAGGAGGCUGACAUCUCGGGCAGUCUCAGGCACUCAGCUUGUGGACAAUGCCUGACAGUCCUGAGCAUUUGCCCAGGAGCCUCACACAUCACAGUAACACACACACACACACACACACACACACACACACACACACACACCAGCCUUACAAAGAGCGGCUAGCUCCAUUCCCCAAGGAAAAAUCCUAUUCUGUAUCACUUUAAGAAGAAAGAUUUCCCAUUUUUAACUCCCCGGAGAUCUAGAGCCUGGAAAAUUCUUCUCUGCCUGGGGGAGUUCCACGCACACGUUGCAUGAAUGUGUAUUUUACACAGAAGCCAGCGCACAAACCCAAGUCAAGCCCUGGCAAAUAGCUGCUGAAUUCACCCAGGCUCCUGCAUUCCUCAGCCAGGCCUCCUGGCAGGGGCCCUCUUCCUGUGUGCUGUGGGGUGAGGGGGACUGAGUUCUCAUGGCCAAAGGAGCCCCGAGGUUCUGGGGAACGGGGGCUGAGGGCAGCCCACAGAAAGCUGUGGGCCAGGUGGCUUCAUCUUACUGUAACUUUUUACAUUCUUUU
Myotis davidii is the source of this 3755-nucleotide long non-coding RNA. RefSeq lists it as uncharacterized. The record is from RefSeq and is a predicted model, not a curated record. Lineage: Eukaryota; Metazoa; Chordata; Mammalia; Chiroptera; Vespertilionidae. The transcript is spliced from 2 exons.